This 21-nucleotide non-coding RNA is filed under the name Caenorhabditis elegans. The record is from RNAcentral. Lineage: Eukaryota; Metazoa; Nematoda; Chromadorea; Rhabditida; Rhabditidae.
UAUACACCAGAGUGAACAUUA